GGUCCCCUGGCUCAACCUGGUAGAGCAGCGAGCUUUUAACUCGCGGGUUCCGGGUUCGAAUCCCGGGGGGAUCG
This 74-nucleotide transfer RNA is filed under the name Myxococcales bacterium. RNAcentral describes it as "tRNA-Lys". It matches the Rfam family "tRNA". From Rfam's summary of the family: Transfer RNA (tRNA) molecules are approximately 80 nucleotides in length. The record is from RNAcentral. Lineage: Bacteria; Pseudomonadati; Myxococcota; Myxococcia; Myxococcales.